AUAACAUUCAAUAAAAAUUGUUUAAUGAACACCAGAUCUCAUUAAAAAUAGGAUACAAUUUUUUAAAAAUAUCGUAAAAGAAUAUCGUCGCUUUUUCGCAGAUAUUGAUCAAAAAAUAGAAGGCAACCCUUUGCUGAUACACCUUGUUUUCCCAUCCAAGCGAUCCAAAGCCAACAAAAUAAUUUAUUCUCCUACAUAGAUAGAUGAUAGGUAAUAUGAAUUAACAUUUUUUCAAUAUUUAUAUUAUUAGGUUAUUCUAAUAUCUCAAAUACAAAAGUACCUGAGCAAAUUUUGUAUGCAUCCUACGUAUGGUUUCUUAUCAACUAUCCCAAACCAAUAAUUAUGGAUUCUAGACAUAUACCGAAGAAAAGUCUUAAAAAUGAAAAUUGUGUAAAUGUUUUUAUGCAAUUUGUUUCUUUGCGUCGAUGUAUCUGUUGAUAAUAUCUGAUAUUAUCAAAAAUGGUAUUCAAAUGAUCCAUUUUUAAAAUAAACAUACGAGGGCGUACCCAAAAGAAACCGAACUGAUGUUGGGUGGGACAGAGUUUUGGUAGUCG
Molecule: non-coding RNA, 554 nt
Organism: Cinara cedri
Lineage: Eukaryota; Metazoa; Arthropoda; Insecta; Hemiptera; Aphididae
Source: the annotation of a GenBank genome assembly